GUGGGGAAUCUUGCGCAAUGGGCGAAAGCCUGACGCAGCCAUGCCGCGUGAAUGAUGAAGGUCUUAGGAUUGUAAAAUUCUUUCACCGGGGACGAUAAUGACGGUACCCGGAGAAGAAGCUCCGACUAACUUCGUGCCAGCAGCCGCGGUAAUACGAAGGGGGCUAGCGUUGCUCGGAAUUACUGGGCGUAAAGGGCGCGUAGGCGGACAGCUUAGUCAGAGGUGAAAGCCCAGGGCUCAACCUUGGAAUUGCCUUUGAUACUGGCUGUCUUGAGUUUGGGAGAGGUGAGUGGAACUCCGAGUGUAGAGGUGAAAUUCGUAGAUAUUCGGAAGAACACCAGUGGCGAAGGCGACUCACUGGCCCAAUACUGACGCUGAGGCGCGAAAGCGUGGGGAGCAAACAGGAUUAGAAACCCUGGUAGUCC
This 425-nucleotide ribosomal RNA is filed under the name uncultured bacterium. RNAcentral describes it as "partial 16S ribosomal RNA". It matches the Rfam family "Bacterial small subunit ribosomal RNA", at positions 354 to 796 of the family's 1533-position model. The record is from RNAcentral.